GAUGAACGCUGACAGAAUGCUUAACACAUGCAAGUCAACUUGAACUUCGGUUUGGGUGGCGGACGGGUGAGUAACGCGUAAAGAACUUGCCUCACAGAUAGGGACAACAUUUGGAAACGAAUGCUAAUACCUGAUAUUAUGAUUUUAGGGCAUCCUAGAAUUAUGAAAGCUAUAUGCGCUGUGAGAGAGCUUUGCGUCCCAUUAGCUAGUUGGAGAGGUAACGGCUCACCAAGGCGAUGAUGGGUAGCCGGCCUGAGAGGGUGAUCGGCCACAAGGGGACUGAGACACGGCCCUUACUCCUACGGGAGGCAGCAGUGGGGAAUAUUGGACAAUGGACCAAGAGUCUGAUCCAGCAAUUCUGUGUGCACGAUGAAGUUUUUCGGAAUGUAAAGUGCUUUCAGUUGGGAAGAAAAAAAUGACGGUACCAACAGAAGAAGUGACGGCUAAAUACGUGCCAGCAGCCGCGGUAAUACGUAUGUCACAAGCGUUAUCCGGAUUUAUUGGGCGUAAAGCGCGUCUAGGUGGUUAUAUAAGUCUGAUGUGAAAAUGCAGGGCUAACUCUGUAUUGCGUUGGAAACUGUGUAACUAGAGUACUGGAGAGGUAACCGGAACUACAAGUGUAGAGGUGAAUUUCUGUCAUCUCUGCAGGAAUGCUCCUGGGGAAGCCGAU
Molecule: ribosomal RNA, 670 nt
Filed under: uncultured Fusobacterium sp.
Lineage: Bacteria; Fusobacteriati; Fusobacteriota; Fusobacteriia; Fusobacteriales; Fusobacteriaceae
Description: bacterial SSU rRNA
Rfam family: Bacterial small subunit ribosomal RNA
Source: RNAcentral